Molecule: ribosomal RNA, 60 nt
Filed under: uncultured bacterium
Lineage: Bacteria
Description: partial 16S ribosomal RNA
Source: RNAcentral
GAGGGGUGAUCGGCCACAUUGGGACUGAGACACGGCCCAAACUCCUACGGAAGGCAGCAG